This is a long non-coding RNA of Nannospalax galili (Upper Galilee mountains blind mole rat), 308 nucleotides long. RefSeq lists it as uncharacterized. NCBI's taxonomy places the organism in Eukaryota, Metazoa, Chordata, Mammalia, Rodentia, Spalacidae. The transcript is spliced from 3 exons. The record is from RefSeq and is a predicted model, not a curated record.
AUCCUUGGGAAGGAGAUGAAAAAAAUGAGCAGCAACACAGAAUUGAAACUAGCUUGCAAAUAUUAAAUAAAUCCACAAAAGAAAGAACAGACUACAGUGUACAAAUCUGGGGCAAAGCUGCCAUUGGUUUGUAUCUCUGGGAGCACAUUUUUGAAGGCACACUCGAUCCCACUGAUGUGACUGCUCAGUGGAGAGAAGGACAGUCAAUUGUAGGAAGAACACAUUACAGGACAAGCACUUUACCAACUAAGCUAUCUGCCAGGCCCCUCAUUGCAUGAAUGUUCUGAAAGGAAUCAUACUUACAAGGU